AGAACGAACGCUGGCGGCAGGCUUAACACAUGCAAGUCGAACGCCCGUAGCAAUACGGGAGUGGCAGACGGGUGAGUAACACGUGGGAACAUACCCUUUGGUACGGAACAACUCGGGGAAACUCGAGCUAAUACCGUAUACGGCCGUGAGGCGAAAGAUUGAUCGCCGAAGGAUUGGCCCGCGUCCGAUUAGCUAGUUGGUGAGGUAAUGGCUCACCAAGGCGACGAUCGGUAGCUGGU
This 239-nucleotide ribosomal RNA is filed under the name uncultured bacterium. Its description in RNAcentral is "partial small subunit ribosomal RNA". It matches the Rfam family "Bacterial small subunit ribosomal RNA", at positions 26 to 291 of the family's 1533-position model. The record is from RNAcentral.